Micropterus dolomieu (smallmouth bass) is the source of this 886-nucleotide long non-coding RNA. RefSeq lists it as uncharacterized. Lineage: Eukaryota; Metazoa; Chordata; Actinopteri; Centrarchiformes; Centrarchidae. The transcript has 3 exons. The record is from RefSeq and is a predicted model, not a curated record.
UUAUCUUCAGGGGGCUGUGUGAGGCCUCUGCUGUUUUUGAAAAUAACACGUUGCGUUGUGACUGCAGAGCCUCGUUCAACUGUGACUGCUAAACAAUCUUUGAGGAGCACAGAGGCUGAGUGGACUGGUUAUAUUAUGCCUUGAGAAUGAACGAGCUGAGAAGUUUUGAGCAGACUGAGGAGGGGAACAGACACUGUUCAGACAGAGAGCACCUGAGAACAGCUCUGCGACUAACAAGAUUAAAGCAGAUUGGAGCUUGACAAGCAACAGAAACCGUGAAGCCUCAUUUCUCUACGCAAAUUUCACCUUGGAAAAAUAAAAUGGAAGCCGUUGCUGUUGCAGUUAAAUUGAACACUCUUUCAGUAUAUGGAAGCCUGCAGUUUUAUUACACAAAAUCCUACGCUCUGGAUUUUUUAGAUGGAAAAAAAUUGGAUGAAAUGUUUUCAAAGAAAUGGUUUAAUGCAGCCCUAGAGAUUGCCUGUCAGUAUUCACAUGCUGUCACUUCAUUAUUUUAUGAUUUUGGCCAUGGUAGUAAAAGCCACUCUGUAUCAAAAAGAUAGGUCCAAUUUCAGUUAUUUUGAUUUUUUUGCCAGCACAUUUCCAAAUGUCAAGGAUUUAAGAUUUCACAAUUAAACCAGCUUCUUUAUUUUAAACACAUUUUUUGUAUUUUUGAGUAUCAUAGCGAGGUUUCAGUGAACAAAGGGAAUAUAUGCAUGCUUCCGUCAUUCAAGAAGAAAUGAAAGAAACAUUAAUCAUGGGGUUGCUAAAAUAAAUAUCACGUUAUUUUCCUUUUAAGAAGCACCCACCUUAGCGCACACACAUCCAAGUUUGAAGCCAUGUUUUUACAACACAGAGAUUCUUCUUUGUUGUUCACCCCACCAAAAUA